GCCGGGGUGGCGAAAUUGGUAGACGCACGUGCCUUAGGAGCACGCGGAGUAAUCCUUGGAGGUUCGAGUCCUCUCCCCGGCA
Parcubacteria bacterium C7867-002 is the source of this 82-nucleotide non-coding RNA. The record is from Rfam. NCBI's taxonomy places the organism in Bacteria, Candidatus Parcubacteria.